Molecule: non-coding RNA, 23 nt
Filed under: Cricetulus griseus (Chinese hamster)
Lineage: Eukaryota; Metazoa; Chordata; Mammalia; Rodentia; Cricetidae
Source: RNAcentral
AAGCGACUGAAAGAAAGAACUGA